This 301-nucleotide ribosomal RNA is filed under the name uncultured bacterium. Its description in RNAcentral is "partial 16S ribosomal RNA". It matches the Rfam family "Bacterial small subunit ribosomal RNA", at positions 509 to 807 of the family's 1533-position model. The record is from RNAcentral.
CAGUCGCCGCGGUAAUACAGAGGGUGCGAGCGUUAAUCGGAUUUACUGGGCGUAAAGCGUGCGUAGGCGGCUUUUUAAGUCGGAUGUGAAAUCCCUGAGCUUAACUUAGGAAUUGCAUUCGAUACUGGGAAGCUAGAGUAUGGGAGAGGAUGGUAGAAUUCCAGGUGUAGCGGUGAAAUGCGUAGAGAUCCGGAGGAAUACCGAUGGCGAAGGCAGCCAUCUGGCCUAAUACUGACGCUGAGGUACGAAAGCAUGGGGAGCAAACAGGAUUAGAUACCCCCGUAGUCCCUGUCUCUUAUAC